AACCCAGCAACUCUGAAGUGGAGAGACAGGCGGACAGGGCUGAUUACCCUCAGAACAAGCCAUCAACUAGUAGGAGGGCUUAAUUCUUAGCCCCAUCAGCUGCAAAUCAUAGCUCCCAGCAAUUCCCAACUGAAAAGCCUUUUGGAAAAAUUUUGGAGUUUCUGAAAUAGGGCCCCCAGUCCUAGCCAAGCAAGAGCUGGAGUCAGCUCCACUGACUGCAAAGCAUGGCCUCUAGAACAAAGUCAAGGGCCCUGUUCAACCAGGGAAGCUGAGGCAUGGAUUGGCUUAAGAUCACAAAGAAUUAGCAACCUUAAAUCUGCUUCUUCCCUGGCAGAGAAGCUAACUUGCAGCCCCAUUUACUACUGAACAUAGUCUCCAGACCACCUGAGCAGGAACCUUACCAGAGCACAUAGGAAGCUGUGGAGCCCAUACAAAAGCACUAAUUAUAGUGGCACUUAAACAGCACAAUCGUGGUUUUUACCUGUCUGCAGACCAGAUCCAUUGGCCUUACCUUACCAGGAUAUUUAGUGCACAUUGUUUGCUGAUUCACUGAUCUAUGCAGGCCUUGGAUCCCCUCCUGCUGUGCUGCCAGGGCUGGGAAGCUACACAGAACCCCACAUACUGCUGAGUAUUGUACCCAGUCCCUACUGUUAAGCCUGACCAGAGAAUCCAGGCAACUACAAAGCCAAUCCUAUUGGACAGGGAACCAAGAUAGCAGUUUUAUCCAGCUGUGCUUAGCCAGCAGCACUCCUCCCUACCCACAACCUUAGAACUUGAACUGUUGCUUUGCUCAAAAAUAGAACCUAAGAGCAGAUGCAUCCUGCCCAAGGACAUUACUAGCAGACAUGUCCAGAACCCCAAACUGAACUUAAUGAUGAAGAACUAUCUCUGUCUCUGCCAAAGUGAACCUGCAAAAUCUAGAAAAAGAAACUACGCAUUCACAUGCACAGAUUAUCAGUAUGAGUAAUCAAAGAUCAUGAAAAAUCAGGUAAUUAUGAUACCACUAAUGGAAACUAACAAAGUUUUAAGAACUAAUACUAAAGAAAUGUAGGUCAAUGAAUUGUCAAACAAACUUAUAAUUACCAAAGGGGAAACAUGGGGGAGGGAUAAAUUAGGAGUAUGUGAUUAACAUAUACAUACUACUGUAUAUAAAAUAGAUAACCAAAAAGGACCUACUGGGUAGCACAAGGGAACUCUACUCAGUAUUCCGUAACAAUGGAAAAAGAAUCUGAAAAAGAAUAUAUACAUAUAUAUAAAUUUGUUGUAUACCUGAAACUAACAUUAUAAAGCAAUUCCAAUUAGAAAAAGAAUUCAGAAUAAUUCUCUUUAAAAAUGUUUAGGAACUCUAGGAACACACAAUUAAAGGAAAUUAGCAAAACAAUGCAUGAACAAAAUUAGAAAUUCACCAAAGAAAUAAACAUCAAUCCUACCCCUGCCCCCAAAAUCCUAAAGCUAAAAAAUACAAUAACUGAACUGAACAAUUCACUAGGGAGCUUCAAAAGCAGACUCAGAUAUCAGAAGAAAGAAUCAGAAACCUAGAAGAUAGGACAUUUGAAAUUAUCCAGUCAGAGCAACAAAAUAGAAAAGAAUGAAAAAGAGUAAUGAAAACUUACAGGGCUUAUGGGACACAAUAAAGAGAAACAAUAUUCACAUUCUGGGAAUCCAGAGGAAGAGAAAGGGAUGGAAAGUACAUUUAAAGCCAUAACGGGUGAAUACUUCCCAAACCUGGCAGACCAAUAGCUAUCCAGGUCCAAGAUGACCAAAAGACCCCCCAAAAGGUUGAACCAUAGAGGGCCACGCUGAGACACAUUAUAAUUAAAUUGUAAAAACAGUAAGAGAAAAGAGAGAAGUUACCUAUAAGGGAACCCCCAUCAGAGUAUCAGUGGAUUUCUCAAGAGAAACUUUUCAGGCAAGAAAAAAAUGGGAUGAUAUUCAUAAUGUCAAAAGAAAAAAAACUGUCAGUUAAGAAUACCACAUGGAGUGAAGCUGUCCUUCAGAAAUAAAGGUGGAAUAUAGAUUUUCCUGAACAAACAAGAGCUUAGGGAAUUUAUCACCAUUAUACCUGCCUUACAGAAAAUGACAAAGAUAGUUCUUUGAGUGGAAAUGAAAGAACACUAAUUAACAUCAUAAAACCAUAAAAAAGAGGAGUAUAAAACCCAUGUGUAAGGCUAAAUAUAGUUAAAACUGGAUUCUCUAAUGAGGUAAUGGUGGUGUGUAAUUCACUUACAAUUUUAGUUUAAAAGUUAACAAAUAUAGUGAAAAUAAGCAUAUGUAGAAUAAUUGUUAUCAGUUACAUAAUACAAAACAUAUGUAAAUUGUAACAUCAAAUUGGCAUAUGCACACACUGGUGUAUGGAAUGACUAGCCAGUAGGGACAUGCUGUAUAGCACAGGGAACUCUACCCAAUAUUCCGUGAUAAAAUAUAUGGGAAAAAUAUGAUAAAGAAUGGCUGGGUAUAUAUGCAUAACUCAAUCAUUUUGUUGUAGAGCAGAAAUUAUUACAACAUUAUAAAUCAACUAUACCUUAAUAAAACUUUUUUUUGACCCACAGAAAAAUUAGAGGGGAAGGAGAAUUAAUAAUGUAAGGCUUAGGAAUUCUCUUGAAGUUAUUAGUUUAAAGUAGGGUGUUAUAAGAUAUCUUACAUAAGCCCCAUGAUAAUCCCAAGGAAAAAACCUAUAGUAAUUACACCAAAUAACAUGAUGUAAUAAUCACAGCAUACUGAUACCACAAAAUAUCAAACAAACAAAUGAAAAAAGAUAUCAAGAAAGAAGGGGCAAUGGUUCUUCUAAACAACCAAAGAAAAAAACAAACCCCAAAAUAAAGUGACAAUAGUAAUUUCUGAUUUAUCAAUAACUACUUUAGAAUUAGUACAUUAAAUUCCCUAGCCAAAAGAUACAGAAUGACUGAAUGGACAUAAAAAUUAGAUCCAACAAUAUGCUUCCUACAUAUGACUCAUUUUAGCCUGAUAACAAUAGUAAAUAUUUAUGAGCCCAACAUUGGAGCAACUAAAUACAUAAAGCAAAAACUAACAAAGGUAAGAGGAGGAAAAAAACAGCAAUAUGAUAAUGAUUGGGAAUUUUAAUAUUUCACUCUCAGUAAUAAUAGAUUAUUUAGACUAAGAAUCAAUAAGGAGGCAGUGAUAUUAAUGAUACCACAGACCAUUUGUAUGUAACAGACAAAUUCAGAUCAUCCUAUUUGUCAACAGAAAAAUAUACACUCUUAAGUGCACAUAAACAUUUUCUAGGAUAAACCACAAAACAAUCCUUAGCAAAUUCAAGAAGCCUGACAUCAUAACCAAGUAGCUCCUCUGACUAUACUGGUGUGAAACUAGUAAUAGCAGGACAACAAAAAUUAAUGAACACCUGGAAACUAAGCAACACUCUUCUGAACAACUAAUGGGCAAAAGAAAUUAAAGGGGGGAUGUUCCUGUUGUGGCUCAGCGGUAAUGAACCUGACUAGUGUUCAUGAGGAUGCAGUUUCAAUCCCCGGCAUUGCUCAGUGGGUUAAGGAUCUGGCAUUUGCUGUGAGCUGUAUAUAGGUCACAGACACAGCUUGGAUCUGGCAUUGCUGUGGCUGUUGUAUAGGCCAGCAGCUGUAGCUCCAAUAUGACCCCUAGCCUGGGAACUUCCAUAUACUGCAG
RNAcentral lists this long non-coding RNA (3639 nucleotides) under Sus scrofa (pig). RNAcentral describes it as "lncRNA (ENSSSCG00000053194.1)". The record is from RNAcentral. Lineage: Eukaryota; Metazoa; Chordata; Mammalia; Artiodactyla; Suidae.